GCGGGUGUAGUUCAAUGGUAGAACACCAGCCUUCCAAGCUGGUCACGUGAGUUCGAUUCUCAUCACCCGCU
RNAcentral lists this transfer RNA (71 nucleotides) under Fidelibacterota bacterium. RNAcentral's name for it is "tRNA-Gly". It matches the Rfam family "tRNA". From Rfam's summary of the family: Transfer RNA (tRNA) molecules are approximately 80 nucleotides in length. Their secondary structure includes four short double-helical elements and three loops (D, anti-codon, and T loops). Further hydrogen bonds mediate the characteristic L-shaped molecular structure. tRNAs have two regions of fundamental functional importance: the anti-codon, which is responsible for specific mRNA codon recognition, and the 3' end, to which the tRNAs corresponding amino acid is attached (by aminoacyl-tRNA synthetases). tRNAs cope with the degeneracy of the genetic code in two manners: having more than one tRNA (with a specific anti-codon) for a particular amino acid; and 'wobble' base-pairing, i.e. permitting non-standard base-pairing at the 3rd anti-codon position. The record is from RNAcentral. Lineage: Bacteria; Pseudomonadati; Fidelibacterota.